GGGCCCGCACAAGCGGUGGAGCAUGUGGUUUAAUUCGAUGAUACGCGAGGAACCUUACCAAGGCUUAAAUGUAGGAGGACAGGCUGUGAAAACAGCCCUUCUUCGGACUUCCUACAAGGUGCUGCAUGGUUGUCGUCAGCUCGUGCCGUGAGGUGUCGGGUUAAGUCCCAUAACGAGCGCAACCCCUAUCUUUAGUUGCCAGCGGUUCGGCCGGGGACUCUAAAGAAACUGCCCGCGCAAGCGGUGAGGAAGGUGGGGAUGACGUCAAAUCAUCACGGCCCUUACGUCUUGGGCUACACACGUGCUACAAUGGUAGUGACAAUGGGUUAAUCCCCAAAAACUG
This 343-nucleotide ribosomal RNA is filed under the name uncultured bacterium. Its description in RNAcentral is "bacterial SSU rRNA". It matches the Rfam family "Bacterial small subunit ribosomal RNA", at positions 917 to 1285 of the family's 1533-position model. The record is from RNAcentral.